UUGACCUCGGAUCAGGUAGGGAUACCCGCUGAACUUAAGCAUAUCAAUAAGCGGAGGAAAAGAAACCAACAGGGAUUGCCUCAGUAACGGCGAGUGAAGCGGCAAGAGCUCAAAUUUGAAAGCUGGCCCCCUCGGGGUCCGCGUUGUAAUUUGCAGAGGAUGCUUCGGGUGCAGCCCCCGUCUAAGUGCCCUGGAACGGGCCGUCAUAGAGGGUGAGAAUCCCGUCUGGGACGGGGUGUCUGCGUCCGUGUGAAGCUCCUUCGACGAGUCGAGUUGUUUGGGAAUGCAGCUCUAAAUGGGUGGUAAAUUUCAUCUAAAGCUAAAUACUGGCCGGAGACCGAUAGCGCACAAGUAGAGUGAUCGAAAGAUGAAAAGCACUUUGAAAAGAGAGUUAAACAGCACGUGAAAUUGUUGAAAGGGAAGCGUUUGCGACCAGACUCGCCCGCGGGGUUCAGCCGGCAUUCGUGCCGGUGUACUUCCCCGUGGGCGGGCCAGCGUCGGUUUGGGCGGCCGGUCAAAGGCCCUCGGAAUGUAUCACCUCUCGGGGUGUCUUAUAGCCGAGGGUGCAAUGCGGCCUGCCCGGACCGAGGAACGCGCUUCGGCUCGGACGCUGGCGUAAUGGUCGUAAAUGACCCGUCUUGAAACACGGACCAAGGAGUCUAACAUCUACGCGAGUGUUCGGGUGUCAAACCCGUACGCGCAGUGAAAGCGAACGGAGGUGGGAGCCCCCCCGUGGGGCGCACCAUCGACCGAUCCUGAUGUCUUCGGAUGGAUUUGAGUACGAGCGUAGCUGUGGGGACCCGAAAGAUGGUGAACUAUGCCUGAAUAGGGCGAAGCCAGAGGAAACUCUGGUGGAGGCUCGCAGCGGUUCUGACGUGCAAAUCGAUCGUCAAAUUUGGGUAUAGGGGCGAAAGACUAAUCGAACCAUCUAGUAGCUGGUUCCUGC
RNAcentral lists this ribosomal RNA (946 nucleotides) under Aspergillus nishimurae. RNAcentral's name for it is "eukaryotic LSU rRNA". It matches the Rfam family "Eukaryotic large subunit ribosomal RNA", at positions 1 to 961 of the family's 3401-position model. The record is from RNAcentral. Lineage: Eukaryota; Fungi; Ascomycota; Eurotiomycetes; Eurotiales; Aspergillaceae.